Molecule: ribosomal RNA, 472 nt
Filed under: uncultured bacterium
Lineage: Bacteria
Description: bacterial SSU rRNA
Rfam family: Bacterial small subunit ribosomal RNA
Source: RNAcentral
AUUGAACGCUGGCGGCAUGCCUAACACAUGCAAGUCGAACGGCAGCACGGCAGUAGCAAUACUGUGGGCGGCGAGUGGCGAACGGGUGAGUAAUACAUCGGAACGUGCCCGAGAGUGGGGGAUAACGCAGCGAAAGCUGUGCUAAUACCGCAUACGAUCUCAGGAUGAAAGCAGGGGACCGCAAGGCCUUGCGCUCACGGAGCGGCCGAUGGCAGAUUAGGUAGUUGGUGGGAUAAAAGCUUACCAAGCCGACGAUCUGUAGCUGGUCUGAGAGGACGACCAGCCACACUGGGACUGAGACACGGCCCAGACUCCUACGGGAGGCAGCAGUGGGAAUUUUGGACAAUGGGGGGAACCCUGAUCCAGCCAUGCCGCGUGCAGGAUGAAGGCCUCGGUUGUAAACUGCUUUGUACGGAACGAAAAGGACGUCUGGUUAAUACCCGGGACGUCAUGACGGUACCGUAAGAAUAAG